RNAcentral lists this ribosomal RNA (465 nucleotides) under Vreelandella stevensii. RNAcentral's name for it is "partial 16S ribosomal RNA". It matches the Rfam family "Bacterial small subunit ribosomal RNA", at positions 338 to 795 of the family's 1533-position model. Lineage: Bacteria; Pseudomonadati; Pseudomonadota; Gammaproteobacteria; Oceanospirillales; Halomonadaceae. The record is from RNAcentral.
CCUACGGGCGGCAGCAGUGGGGAAUAUUGGACAAUGGGGGGAACCCUGAUCCAGCCAUGCCGCGUGUGUGAAGAAGGCCCUCGGGUUGUAAAGCACUUUCAGUGAGGAAGAACGCCUGGUGGUUAAUACCCAUCAGGAAAGACAUCACUCACAGAAGAAGCACCGGCUAACUCCGUGCCAGCAGCCGCGGUAAUACGGAGGGUGCGAGCGUUAAUCGGAAUUACUGGGCGUAAAGCGCGCGUAGGUGGCUUGAUAAGCCGGUUGUGAAAGCCCCGGGCUCAACCUGGGAACGGCAUCCGGAACUGUCAAGCUAGAGUGCAGGAGAGGAAGGUAGAAUUCCCGGUGUAGCGGUGAAAUGCGUAGAGAUCGGGAGGAAUACCAGUGGCGAAGGCGGCCUUCUGGACUGACACUGACGCUGAGGUGCGAAAGCGUGGGUAGCGAACAGGAUUAGAUACCCCUGUAGUC